This 309-nucleotide long non-coding RNA is filed under the name Microcebus murinus (gray mouse lemur). RNAcentral's name for it is "lncRNA (ENSMICG00000048432.1)". The record is from RNAcentral. Lineage: Eukaryota; Metazoa; Chordata; Mammalia; Primates; Cheirogaleidae.
AACAAAAGCUCAUUGGCAUCCUUGGUAAUUUUUCAGAUAAAGAAGGAAGGGCGUCCUGAAACCAAAGAGUUAGAAACCUGUUGAUAAAAGGAAAUAAAAAAAGGACAGUGUGAUAUACACACAUGUGCAUCCAGAGAACAAGGAAAAAAGAACAGUGCGUCCAUUUCUUCAUGGAACACAACUUGAUGUAAUAAAGAUUAUAGCCGCAUCUGCUGCAGUUCCAGCUGUGAGAAGGGAGAGGAGCAAGAGACUGAGCAGACCUGACACAGAGACUCCAUGGGGUGGCAAUACAUCUUUCACAGGAAAAAG